This 370-nucleotide ribosomal RNA is filed under the name uncultured prokaryote. Its description in RNAcentral is "bacterial SSU rRNA". It matches the Rfam family "Bacterial small subunit ribosomal RNA", at positions 524 to 896 of the family's 1533-position model. The record is from RNAcentral.
UACGGAGGAUGCAAGCGUUAUCCGGAUUCAUUGGGUUUAAAGGGUGCGUAGGCGGCUUUUUAAGUCAGUGGUGAAAUCUUGCCGCUUAACGGUAAAAUUGCCAUUGAUACUGAUAAGCUUGAGUACAAUUGAGGUAAGCGGAAUGUGUAGUGUAGCGGUGAAAUGCUUAGAUAUUACACAGAACACCGAUUGCGAAGGCAGCUUACUAAACUGUUACUGACGCUGAUGCACGAAAGCGUGGGGAGCGAACAGGAUUAGAUACCCUGGUAGUCCACGCCGUAAACGAUGAUCACUCGCUGUAUGCGAUACACAGUAUGCGGCCAAGCGAAAGCAUUAAGUGAUCCACCUGGGGAGUACGAUCGCAAGGUUG